RNAcentral lists this ribosomal RNA (324 nucleotides) under uncultured eukaryote. RNAcentral's name for it is "partial 18S ribosomal RNA". It matches the Rfam family "Eukaryotic small subunit ribosomal RNA", at positions 1470 to 1796 of the family's 1831-position model. The record is from RNAcentral.
CCCUUAGAUGUCCUGGGCUGCACGCGCGCUACACUGAUGUGUCCGGUAAGCACCUAACCUAUUCCGAGAGGAGCGGGUAACCUUAGCAAAGCACAUCGUGAUGGGGAUAGAUUAUUGCAAUUAUUAGUCUUGAACGAGGAAUUCCUAGUAAGCACAAGUCAUCAGCUUGUGUUGAUUACGUCCCUGCCCUUUGUACACACCGCCCGUCGCUCCUACCGAUUGAAUGUCCCGGUGAGCUCUUCGGACUGCGCGGUCUGCAGUUUCUGCGUUCCGUGCGGAAAGUUGUGCAAACCUUAACAUUUAGAGGAAGGAGAAGUCGUAACA